RNAcentral lists this ribosomal RNA (496 nucleotides) under uncultured bacterium. RNAcentral's name for it is "partial 16S ribosomal RNA". It matches the Rfam family "Bacterial small subunit ribosomal RNA", at positions 29 to 507 of the family's 1533-position model. The record is from RNAcentral.
AUGAACGCUGGCGGCGUGCCUAAUACAUGCAAGUCGAGCGAACAGUUGAGGAGCUUGCUCCUCUGACGUUAGCGGCGGACGGGUGAGUAACACGUGGAUAACUUACCUAUAAGACUGGGAUAACUUCGGGAAACCGGAGCUAAUACCGGAUAAUAUAUUGAACCGCAUGGUUCAAUAGUGAAAGACGGUUUUGCUGUCACUUAUAGAUGGAUCCGCGCCGCAUUAGCUAGUUGGUAAGGUAACGGCUUACCAAGGCAACGAUGCGUAGCCGACCUGAGAGGGUGAUCGGCCACACUGGAACUGAGACACGGUCCAGACUCCUACGGGAGGCAGCAGUAGGGAAUCUUCCGCAAUGGGCGAAAGCCUGACGGAGCAACGCCGCGUGAGUGAUGAAGGUCUUCGGAUCGUAAAACUCUGUUAUUAGGGAAGAACAAAUGUGUAAGUAACUAUGCACGUCUUGACGGUACCUAAUCAGAAAGCCACGGCUAACUACGUG